GAUGAACGCUGGCGGCGUGCCUAAUACAUGCAAGUCGAGCGAACAGACGAGGAUUUUGCCCCGCUGACGUUACCGGCGGACGGGUGAGUAACACGUGGAUAACCUACCUAUAAGACUGGGAUAACUUCGGGAACCCGGAUCCAAUACCGGACAAUAUAUUGAACCGCAUGGUUCUUUAGUGAAAGACGGUUUUGCUGUCCCUAAUAGAUGGAUCCGCGCCGCAUUAGCUAGUUGGUACGGUAACGGCUUACCAAGGCUACGAUGCGUAGCCGAUCUGAGAGGGUGAUCGGCCACACUGGAACUGAGACACGGUCCAGACUCCUACGGGAGGCAGCAGUGGGGAAUAUUGCACAAUGGGCGAAAGCUUGACGGAGCAACGCCGCGUGAGUGAUGAAGGUCUUCGGAUCGUAAAACUCUGUUAGUAGGGAAGAACAAAUGUGUGAGUAUCUAUGCACGUCUUGACGGUACCUAAACAAAAAGCCACGGCUAACUACGUG
This 497-nucleotide ribosomal RNA is filed under the name uncultured bacterium. RNAcentral's name for it is "partial 16S ribosomal RNA". It matches the Rfam family "Bacterial small subunit ribosomal RNA", at positions 28 to 507 of the family's 1533-position model. The record is from RNAcentral.